CCUAGUCACUGCCUUCGUUCUUCCCUACUCUACCGAUGUCAUAUUUCACCCCAAGUCACACUGUGUCCUCCUAACUCCAACGUCAGAGCUUCCAGUGGGGAUUUGUUCAACAUUCUCCCCCCUGCAGUUUCAAAUCAUCCAUCGAUAUAACAUUUCCUGCCAAGAUGCACACAUGGUGCUCCAUGUUUUAUUAACACUACUUGCAGCAACAACAUCAUAGAGAAACAAAAAAACAUACCACCUGCUUGGGGAUCUUCUGAACAACUGUCGGCUCUGGCUGUCGCUCGAUGCAGGACAUUUUGUGAUGGUAAAUCAGUAUACCGGUAGUUAGGAGGUAACACCAUAAUAUUAUCUACCAGGGUCUCGUGCUUCGGAGUUUUCAAAAAGGUAUGGUUUCAAAGCCUCUUAAAUUUGACUACUGCGGUUUAAAUGCUUUUAAUGGGGCUUCAGAGGAAGUGUCGAAGUUACCAUUAAUUUCUCAGUCUGUACGAUGCAUAG
Molecule: long non-coding RNA, 498 nt
Organism: Girardinichthys multiradiatus
Lineage: Eukaryota; Metazoa; Chordata; Actinopteri; Cyprinodontiformes; Goodeidae
Exons: 3
Source: RefSeq, a predicted model, not a curated record